AGCGAACGCUGGCGGCGUGCUUAACACAUGCAAGUCGAACGAGUGUAGCAAUACAUUCGUGGCGAACGGGUGCGUAACACGUGGAUAACCUUCCUUCGGGUGGGGAAUAACCCAGUGAAAAUUGGGCUAAUACCGCAUGACAUUCCGGAGUCUUCGGUUUCUGGACUCAAAGGCCGCAAGAUCGUCUGAGGAGGAGCCCG
This 200-nucleotide ribosomal RNA is filed under the name uncultured bacterium. RNAcentral describes it as "partial 16S ribosomal RNA". It matches the Rfam family "Bacterial small subunit ribosomal RNA", at positions 29 to 233 of the family's 1533-position model. The record is from RNAcentral.